UACAGAGGUCCCAAGCGUUGUUCGGAUUCAUUGGGCGUAAAGGGUGCGUAGGCGGCGCGGUAAGUCGGGUGUGAAAUCUCGGAGCUUAACUCCGAAACUGCAUUCGAUACUGCCGUGCUUGAGGACUGGAGAGGAGACUGGAAUUUACGGUGUAGCGGUGAAAUGCGUAGAUAUCGUAAGGAAGACCAGUGGCGAAGGUGGGUCUCUGGACAGUUCCUGACGCUGAGGCACGAAGGCCAGGGGAGCAAACGGG
Molecule: ribosomal RNA, 253 nt
Filed under: uncultured bacterium
Lineage: Bacteria
Description: partial 16S ribosomal RNA
Rfam family: Bacterial small subunit ribosomal RNA
Source: RNAcentral